RNAcentral lists this transfer RNA (68 nucleotides) under bovine gut metagenome. It matches the Rfam family "tRNA". From Rfam's summary of the family: Transfer RNA (tRNA) molecules are approximately 80 nucleotides in length. Their secondary structure includes four short double-helical elements and three loops (D, anti-codon, and T loops). The record is from RNAcentral.
AGAUGUAGCGCAGUUGGUAGCGCGCCUGCUUUGGGAGCAGGAUGCCGCAGGUUCGAGUCCUGUCAUCU